AUGCCAGGCAUUUUACAAUUAUUAUCUAAUUUGAUCAUCACAACAACCCCUCGAGGUGGACUCUAUUAUUAUUCCCAUUUUAUAGAUGAGGAAACUGAAUCAAACAGAAGUUAAGUGACUUAUCCAGGUCAUAUAGCAAGGAAAUACCCAAGACCAAAUUUGGACUCAGGUUUUCUUGAUUCCUGGAGGCAGCUAGGCGGCUCAGUAGAUACAGCACUGGGUCUGGAGUCAGGGAAGACCUGAGUUCAAAUCUAGCCUCAGCCACUUCCCAGCUAUGGGACCAUGGGCAAGUCAUUUAACCUCUGUCUGCCUUAAUCCACUGCAGAAGGAAAUGGCAUAAGACUCCAGUAUCUUUGUCACAAAAACCCCACGAUCAGUGCGGUUCACAAGAUCACAAAAAAUCAAACAUGACUGAACUGAACAACAACAGGGACGGCUUCCUAAUUCCAGGCCCAGUGUGCACUCCACUGAACCACCUAGCUGCCUCUAGAAAGCAGGAGAUCGUCUUAGGAGCCACAUGAAGGCUAGAUCAGAGAGGUGAGAGACUGGAAGCUGCUCCCCCAGCUGAAAAAACAGUAGUCCUCUCCAAAGAAGGAGAUGUCAGUUUGAUGUAAGGAAACACGAUCCCACUGAGGAAUGGCCUACGCUGCGAAGGAGGGCUGAUUCCCCUGCACAUCCAGUUUCUCCAGCACAAGCCAACUGACCCCCUGCUGGGCGUGAAGCUCGAGGCAGGCCGCUCAUUAGGCUUGGGCUACGUGGGCUCACAGGGCCUUCCCAGUAAGCAGCACAUCAAUCCACCAUUACGCUUCUCUACCACAAAGCUCCAGCCCUACCCUGCAGACCCUGGAAAGCAGCCGCAGAGAAGUCUUUGAUCAAGACAGAGUCGUUCAAACUUUGGUCCUUGGUCCACAGGCCUCCAAACCCGAGUCUGAGACCAUUCACCACUCCAUCAUGGAUCUCCAAAGGCAUUGGUCUCUUCCACAGACUUCCAUCUGAAGAGUUCCUGGAGUCUGCAGGACCAAGAUCCCGAAGGCAUCUCCGCCCUGCCCCAGACUGGCCAGUCUAACCAUACUAACCUGAACUCCCCAAGACCAAGACUGUCCACAGCAUCUUCUCCAGCGACCCACAAGCAAAGUGAGGGUGUCUGUGGUUGGACCAAGAACCCUAAAGGCAUCUUCGCUGCUGACCCAUAUCCAUGUGAGUCAACUGAGAGUCAGAUAGAGGUCUGCAAAGGGACUGAGAGGCUCGAUCUGUGCCUAAACUGACUACCAAAGGUUGUGUCUAACCCCGGCAGGACCCAGGGAGCAGAAUCCAAGAAAUC
RNAcentral lists this long non-coding RNA (1321 nucleotides) under Monodelphis domestica (gray short-tailed opossum). RNAcentral describes it as "lncRNA (ENSMODG00000035318.2)". The record is from RNAcentral. Lineage: Eukaryota; Metazoa; Chordata; Mammalia; Didelphimorphia; Didelphidae.